UACGUAGGGGGCAAGCGUUGUCCGGAAUCAUUGGGCGUAAAGAGCGUGUAGGCGGCCCGGUAAGUCCGCUGUGAAAGUCCAGGGCUCAACCCUGGAAUGCCGGUGGAAACUGUCGGGCUAGAGUCCGGAAGAGGAGAAUGGAAUUCCCGGUGUAGCGGUGAAAUGCGCAGAUAUCGGGAAGAACACCCGUGGCGAAGGCGGUUCUCUGGGACGGUACUGACGCUGAGACGCGAAAGCGUGGGGAGCGAACAGG
Molecule: ribosomal RNA, 253 nt
Filed under: uncultured bacterium
Lineage: Bacteria
Description: partial 16S ribosomal RNA
Rfam family: Bacterial small subunit ribosomal RNA
Source: RNAcentral